Molecule: long non-coding RNA, 1245 nt
Filed under: Chrysolophus pictus (golden pheasant)
Lineage: Eukaryota; Metazoa; Chordata; Aves; Galliformes; Phasianidae
Description: lncRNA (ENSCPIG00010003981.1)
Source: RNAcentral
AUGCAUGGAUGUGUGCUGCCCGGCAAACAGCACCGUCACCUGCAAAAACACCCAAAAUCUACAGAAAUCACCCCAAAAUCACCCCAAAAUUACGCCAUGGAGAUGCAUGGCUCUGUGCUGCCCUGCAAACAGCACCAAAACCUGAAAAAACACCCAAAAUCUACAGAAAUCACCCCAAAAUCACCCCAAAAAUACAAUAUGGAGAUGCACGGCUCUGUGCUGCACUGCAAACCGCACCAAAACCUGCAAAAACACCCCAAAAUCUACAGAAAUCACCCCAAAAUCACCCCAAAAUUACACUAUGGGGAUCCAUGGAUGUGUGCUGCCCGGCAAACAGCACCAAAACCUGCAAAAACACCCAAAAUCUACAGAAAUCACCCCAAAAUCACCCCAAAAUUACACUAUGGGGAUCCAUGGAUGUGUGCUGCCCGGCCAACAGCACCAAAACCUGCAACAACACCCAACGAAAUCACCCCAAAAUUACAAUACGGAGAUGCACGGCUCUGUGCUGCCCUGCAAAUCCCACAAAAACCUGCAAAAACACCCCAAAAUCACCCCAAAAUCAACAGAAAUCACCCCAAAAUUACAAUACGGAGAUGCACGGCUCUGUGCUGCCCUGCAAAUCCCACAAAAACCUGCAAAAACACCCCAAAAUCACCCCAAAAUCAACAGAAAUCACCCCAAAAUUACAAUACGGAGAUGCACGGCUCUGUGCUGCCCUGCAAAUCCCACAAAAACCUGCAAAAACACCCCAAAAUCACCCCAAAAUCAACAGAAAUCACCCCAAAAUUACAAUACGGAGAUGCACGGCUCUGUGCUGCCCUGCAAAUCCCACAAAAACCUGCAAAAACACCCCAAAAUCACCCCAAAAUCAACAGAAAUCACCCCAAAAUUACAAUACGGAGAUGCACGGCUCUGUGCUGCGCUGCGAACCCCACAAAAACCUGCAAAAACACCCAAAAGCAGCAGAAAUCACCCCAAAAUCACCCCAAAAAUACAAUAUGGAGAUGCAUGGAUGUGUGCUGCCCGGCAAACUGCAAAAAAACCUGCAAACACACCCAAAUGCACCCAAAAUUAACAGAAAUCACCCCAAAAAUACCCUACAGGGCUGGACAGCCGCGUGCUGUGCUGCAAACUGCACAAAAAUCUGAAAAAACAGCCCCAAAGCACCCCAAAAUCAACAGAAAUCACCCCAAAAUCACCCCCAAAAUACGCUACAAAAGAGCACAGUUCAGCACCCCAUAG